Long non-coding RNA from Canis lupus familiaris (dog), 2161 nucleotides. RefSeq lists it as uncharacterized. The transcript is spliced from 3 exons. Lineage: Eukaryota; Metazoa; Chordata; Mammalia; Carnivora; Canidae. The record is from RefSeq and is a predicted model, not a curated record.
AUUUUGCUGUGGUGGAGUCGGCUGCUGUCAAGCAUUAACUUCUUAAUAAUAAAGCCUUUCAGACCCUCGACUAUCUGCACAAAGAUGCACUUGAAGCUAGUGGCUUGGCAGAGUGUGCACACUCGUUCUGUUAUGCUCUGAAGCUGUUUCAGAAGCUGUGGUUUCUGCCCCUACCCUGACCUUCUCAGCCCUGCUCACAGCUGUACAUGGAGGAUACAACAGGAAGGAAAAGAUGAUCGGGAAUCACCUUUGGCCCUAAGGAGUUCCAGCUUCAGCCUACUCUGCUCACAAGGGAUCUAAGGGAUCUACCAUUCACUCUUCCAAGAAAAUUGCUGCUAAUGUUUUGACUAUAAAAGAUAUGGGUGUCAAUCAUCAUUCAAUGUCUCUAGCAGAUGAGAGACUUCAAUUCUAGUGUAAGUCUUUAUACUAGGUUCCCUGACCAGAAGUGGUUCUUCAGUAAUGAAGGUGAAUUGCCUUUUGCUCAUGGUUGGUCACUGUGGACCUUUGUCUGCAGUGCUAUUGGAGAACCUCUGAUGCUCUUCAGUCACUGUGCCACUCUGAUAUAUUCUCCUGCUUUUAAAGCUGACUCUCCUCAACCUGAUAGUAAUUAUAUGUUGAUUACCUAUAUAUUAUUGAAUUGUGGCAGCAGCUACAUCAAUAUUAAAUAACUACUGUUUACUAAGCAUUCACUGUAUCCUAGGUUGCUGACAGGGCAUAAUCACCCAACAAGACAGAGACAAGACUAUAACCAUUAUCCACAUUUAUCAAGGACAAAAGCAAGGCUCUAAGACUGAUGAAAUGUGCCCAUAGUCCUACAGAAGAAAGCAGCAAUUAGGCCAUGGCAUUCUGAUGGGAAAAUCUGGGCAAACUACCUCUCUGUAGACAGAGAGAUCUUCCAACUGCUAUCUCUAACCUUCCCACCUCCAAUUCACUUCUACAGAGAAGUAGAUUGUGCAACUAGAACACUGGCCUGGGCCUUUGGUCCCACUUCUUAUCUGACAGCCAGUUAUCAUCUACUUCUCAGGAAUGUCUUUCUAUACCACUGCUUUCAACAUUUCACAACCAAAAAGCAAUGGAGUUUCUGUGAUGCCUACUCCUGGGACCUAGAGACCACAAAUCAAGGCUGAACUUUGCCUGAUUGUUACUGUCAAUUCACUAUUUUCUUUAUAAUCUACUAGCUUUGGGGGACUUUAAAAUCUUAAGAUAUAUCUUAACCCUUUUUCCGGAGCAUUUAAUUUUUUCAGACCUUUAAAAUAGUUUUGUUCUUUCUUUGUCCUUGAUUAUCUAAACUUGUACAACUAGAAAUGUUUUCCCAGCCUCAAUCCUUAUCCUUCCUAGGACUUCAUUGCUUUAGUGGUUACUUUCUGAAAUCACCUAAUCUUUCUAUAUAUCUCUACAAUUUGGGGGACUAAUACCCAGUAAUGACUAUAACUAUUCUAGUGGAGAUUCCAGCAACUGUGUCCAAAAAGGGAUCUCUGUCUUCAUAUCUAAAUUCCUCAUAUAUGGCUAUCACUUGGCAAAUCCAACCUUUCUUGAGGCUUUUCUUCGUAUCAUCAUCCCUAAGUAUCACUGUCAUUCUCAUCUUUCUUCUUUUGCCAAAAUAAGAUGAUAUUCCUCUAGAUUUAUUUAUUGAACUAAUCAAAUAUUUCUAUGCACAGUGAAUGGAAAACACAUUUAAUUAGAUACCUAAGACACAAAAACAACAAGAAGAAAUAAAAUAUCAGAAGUAUUUUCCCAAAAAGAUCAGAUGAAAAAGUUGUCUUUUAUCAGUUCUUUUUUUUUCUUCUUUUAUCAGUUCUGAAGGUAAUUUACCAUACCUACCAUAAAGUCUCUGCUUGAUACAUAAAACAUUUGGAGUAAUCAUAAUGGAGCUUCACUUCUUCUCAUCAGAUUAUGGGCCCAAGAGAGCAGGAAAAGCUCUGCCAUGCAUAUUUACACUCAACAAAACUCCAUGGCCAUUUCUGCCUUCCUUUAAUCCAUCCCAUCUGUUUCUUACUCAAUCAUGCCUUCUUUUAGUCAUUCAACAAAAAAUACAUGUGUAUUAUGAUCCAGAAACUAUAUGCUAGUUUGUGGUAUUACUCUAAUAAUGCAAGAUGGCCAUCCUUCCACUGGGUAGAAUCACACAGGAUCUUAGGAAUCUGAAACCUCUUUUAAAAGGAUU